AAGAAGAAAAGAAGGCUAGACAUCUUAAACAAUGAAGACAGAAGGAUUUAUCAUAUAAGAUGAAUAAAGGAAAAGUAAGACCAGUAAACCAAAACAGGACCAAAUAGGCCAUGACUGAAGUUCAAGUGCAAUCUGCAAGAAAGUAGACAGCCUAGAUUUUGUUCUUUUCAAGGUUGAGAAGGGAUGCCAUAUUUUAGGUUUGAAACCAGGCAAGUGAAAGCUGAAUUCCAACCUACUUCAACAUACUUGUACCCACUGUCUUCAAGAUAUCAGUGUUUGAGAUGUCAAAGUUCAAAUAUAAUAGGAACAUGUUUAUCAUAUUUAUGUGAUGGCGCUGUAUAACAAUAUGUUUUAGAACUUAUCAAGCUUUUUCCUGUACCUUGCCAAAAAAACUCAACUCAGCAUAAUUCUCAUUAACUAAUCAUCAGUGUUAAUUGCGUAUGUCAAUGUAGGUCAUUACUGGUACAUGCCUGACCAACAAAAACUCUAAAAUUGAAAAAUCAGAGACAAGAUUUUCAGAGCAGCAGAAACAGUAGAAUUUGUCACGUAAAUCUAAUGAUAUGUACCGUAGUUGAGAAUACAUGUACUCUAAAUGUUGCAUACAUAAAAAAUAAAAAAGCGAAAAGUUCUCUUGUUUUCAGAAUU
Saccostrea cuccullata (small rock oyster) is the source of this 645-nucleotide long non-coding RNA. RefSeq lists it as uncharacterized. The transcript has 3 exons. NCBI's taxonomy places the organism in Eukaryota, Metazoa, Mollusca, Bivalvia, Ostreida, Ostreidae. The record is from RefSeq and is a predicted model, not a curated record.